UACGUAGGGUGCAAGCGUUAAUCGGAAUUACUGGGCGUAAAGCGUGCGCAGGCGGUUUUGUAAGUCUGACGUGAAAUCCCCGGGCUCAACCUGGGAAUUGCGUUGGAGACUGCAAGGCUAGAAUCUGGCAGAGGGGGGUAGAAUUCCACGUGUAGCAGUGAAAUGCGUAGAGAUGUGGAGGAACACCGAUGGCGAAGGCAGCCCCCUGGGUCAAGAUUGACGCUCAUGCACGAAAGCUAGGGGAGCAAACAGG
This 253-nucleotide ribosomal RNA is filed under the name uncultured bacterium. RNAcentral's name for it is "partial 16S ribosomal RNA". It matches the Rfam family "Bacterial small subunit ribosomal RNA", at positions 524 to 776 of the family's 1533-position model. The record is from RNAcentral.